RNAcentral lists this long non-coding RNA (277 nucleotides) under Lathyrus oleraceus (garden pea). RNAcentral's name for it is "Pisum sativum (pea) long non-coding RNA (PSAT_LNC031398)". Lineage: Eukaryota; Viridiplantae; Streptophyta; Magnoliopsida; Fabales; Fabaceae. The record is from RNAcentral.
ACAACCCAACCAGGGUACAGAAAGUCACAACGGGCAAAACAGCCACCAAGAUGAAUCUGUUGGGGAACAAGAGAAAAUCUCGAAGAUCCGCAGGGGAUCUCAGCAUCAACUGAGAAACAAAAAGAAGCCACCAAGAUGAAUCUGUUGGGGAACAAGAGAAAAUCUCGAAGAUCCGCAGGGGAUCUCAGCAUCAACUGAGAAACAAAAAGCUUUGCAACUCCAAACAACUCCGGGGAACAACCCACUGAAGGAAAAAACAUCAUCCAAGUAGAAUCCA